RNAcentral lists this ribosomal RNA (557 nucleotides) under uncultured bacterium. Its description in RNAcentral is "bacterial SSU rRNA". It matches the Rfam family "Bacterial small subunit ribosomal RNA", at positions 102 to 694 of the family's 1533-position model. The record is from RNAcentral.
ACGGGUGCGUAACGCGUGGGAAUCUGCCCUCAGGUACGGAAUAACUCAGGGAAACUUGAGCUAAUACCGUAUAAUGACUUCGGUCCAAAGAUUUAUCGCCUGAGGAUGAGCCCGCGUCGGAUUAGCUAGUUGGUGGGGUAAAGGCCUACCAAGGCUACGAUCCGUAGCUGGUCUGAGAGGAUGAUCAGCCACACUGGGACUGAGACACGGCCCAGACUCCUACGGGAGGCAGCAGUGGGGAAUAUUGGACAAUGGGCGAAAGCCUGAUCCAGCAAUGCCGCGUGAGUGAUGAAGGCCUUAGGGUUGUAAAGCUCUUUUACCCGGGAUGAUAAUGACAGUACCGGGAGAAUAAGCCCCGGCUAACUCCGUGCCAGCAGCCGCGGUAAUACGGAGGGGGCUAGCGUUGUUCGGAAUUACUGGGCGUAAAGCGCACGUAGGCGGCUUUGUAAGUUAGAGGUGAAAGCCCGGGGCUCAACUCCGGAAUUGCCUUUAAGACUGCAUCGCUAGAAUUGUGGAGAGGUAAGUGGAAUUCCGAGUGUAGAGGUGAAAUUCGUAGA